UGGUGACAUCGUUAGCAAGGUAAACCUCAUGCGCUGAAAGACCAAAUAAACCAAGGUUACUUUGUUGAAGAGUUGCUCGCUCAACUUGGAGGGUAGGUCGCUCGAGCUAAUUAGUGAUAAUUAGCCUAGAUAAAUGAUGGACCUCGACAGAAUCCGGCUUAUAGGUUUAACUUUUUU
RNAcentral lists this RNase P RNA (177 nucleotides) under Flavobacteriales bacterium. Its description in RNAcentral is "partial RNase P RNA component class A". It matches the Rfam family "Bacterial RNase P class A", at positions 187 to 367 of the family's 367-position model. Rfam says of the family: Ribonuclease P (RNase P) is a ubiquitous endoribonuclease, found in archaea, bacteria and eukarya as well as chloroplasts and mitochondria. Its best characterised activity is the generation of mature 5'-ends of tRNAs by cleaving the 5'-leader elements of precursor-tRNAs. The record is from RNAcentral. Lineage: Bacteria; Pseudomonadati; Bacteroidota; Flavobacteriia; Flavobacteriales.